GACGAACGCUGGCGGCGUGCCUAAUACAUGCAAGUAGAACGCACAGUUUAUACCGUAGCUUGCUACACCAUAGACUGUGAGUUGCGAACGGGUGAGUAACGCGUAGGUAACCUGCCUGGUAGCGGGGGAUAACUAUUGGAAACGAUAGCUAAUACCGCAUAAUAUUGAUUAUUGCAUGAUAAUUAAUUGAAAGGUGCAAUUGCACCACUACCAGAUGGACCUGCGUUGUAUUAGCUAGUAGGUGAGGUAACGGCUCACCUAGGCGACGAUACAUAGCCGACCUGAGAGGGUGAUCGGCCACACUGGGACUGAGACACGGCCCAGACUCCUACGGGAGGCAGCAGUAGGGAAUCUUCGGCAAUGGACGAAAGUCUGACCGAGCAACGCCGCGUGAGUGAAGAAGGUUGUCGGAUCGUAAAGCUCUGUUGUAAGAGAAGAACGGGUGUGAGAGUGGAAAGUUCACACUGUGACGGUAGCUUACCAGAAAGGGACGGCUAACUACGUG
Molecule: ribosomal RNA, 505 nt
Filed under: uncultured bacterium
Lineage: Bacteria
Description: partial 16S ribosomal RNA
Rfam family: Bacterial small subunit ribosomal RNA
Source: RNAcentral